Molecule: long non-coding RNA, 648 nt
Organism: Drosophila mauritiana
Lineage: Eukaryota; Metazoa; Arthropoda; Insecta; Diptera; Drosophilidae
Exons: 2
Source: RefSeq, a predicted model, not a curated record
ACUUGUCACAUAAGACGUGUCCUUUUAUUCGGCCAUAUAUGGAUGUCCUUGGUCCUGGAAAAUAUCAUGGAAAGAAGAGGAAAAGAAAACACCCCAGCUCAACUAUUUCGCCAAUCGCGAUAAUCACCCUUUGUUGCCAUCCAUUACCCACCUGCCCCAUCCGCCAGGAGCUCCUACUUGCGCCCUCGAGCACGUCCUUUCGUUUAAUCCCUAACAAGAAAGGGGCGGUCGGCCAUCCAACCCAACUCACACAAAGUCUGGGAAAUACGGCGAAAGACUGGGAGUGAGGUUGAGAGGUUCGCAGCCAACCAGGCAACUCUCUGGCAAUCUAAUGCCCAAGAUAAAAUUCAAAAUUUAUAAUAUUGCACAGUUUGCCCGAUAUAAAACGUAAACUUAUGGCUUUCGUGGAGUACGUGCCAUAUUUUUCUAUGUGUAUGUGCCCAAGUCUCAGCCACUAUAUAUUUGCCUAUGUCAGUGCCCGCCUGUGUGUGAGAGUCCUGGCUCCUGUUUCUGUGCUACUUCCUUUUUUCUGCCCAACCCUUGCCAGCAAAGAGUCAUGAGCUCGUUAUGCCUGUGAGAUUUCAUUUGUGUGCCAGGGCAACCCCCGAAAACAGUGGUUCAAUAACAAACUUUCCAUAGAAAAUUCAA